GGGGAAGCCGGUGCAAUUCCGGCGCUGACCCGCAACCGUGAGCCGUCCGCCGAGACGGUGAGCCGGAAUGCCC
This 73-nucleotide non-coding RNA is filed under the name Streptomyces toyocaensis. The record is from RNAcentral. Lineage: Bacteria; Bacillati; Actinomycetota; Actinomycetes; Kitasatosporales; Streptomycetaceae.